This 464-nucleotide ribosomal RNA is filed under the name uncultured bacterium. RNAcentral's name for it is "bacterial SSU rRNA". It matches the Rfam family "Bacterial small subunit ribosomal RNA", at positions 28 to 476 of the family's 1533-position model. The record is from RNAcentral.
GACGAACGCUGGCGGCGUGCCUAAUACAUGCAAGUAGAACGCUGAAGGAGGAGCUUGCUUCUCAGGAUGAGUUGCGAACGGGUGAGUAACGCGUAGGUAACCUGCCUGGUAGCGGGGGAUAACUAUUGGAAACGAUAGCUAAUACCGCAUAAUAUUGACUAUUGCAUGAUAGUCAAUUAAAAGGUGCAAUUGCAUCACUACCAGAUGGACCUGCGUUGUAUUAGCUAGUUGGUGAGGUAACGGCUCACCAAGGCGACGAUACAUAGCCGACCUGAGAGGGUGAUCGGCCACACUGGGACUGAGACACGGCCCAGACUCCUACGGGAGGCAGCAGUAGGGAAUCUUCGGCAAUGGACGGAAGUCUGACCGAGCAACGCCGCGUGAGUGAAGAAGGUUUUCGGAUCGUAAAGCUCUGUUGUAAGAGAAGAACGAGUGUGAGAGUGGAAAGUUCACACNGNGACGGU